RNAcentral lists this unclassified non-coding RNA (208 nucleotides) under Hevea brasiliensis (rubber tree). Lineage: Eukaryota; Viridiplantae; Streptophyta; Magnoliopsida; Malpighiales; Euphorbiaceae. The record is from RNAcentral.
GUCUCUUCCGUCGUCACGCGGUGGUCCUGGAAGUACCAAAACGACGCCGUUUUCACCAACUCCCCCAAUUUCAUAAUUCACAUGAACUGGCUUCUGCCCUUCCAAUUCGAAGCCGUAAAUAUUCGCUUCUUCCAAAUCAACGAACGUCAAUCUCGCUCCGUACGCUAUGAAAUCCGAUUCCUCCUUUCCUUUCUCCACCACUUCUUCG